GCCCGCUUAGCUCAAAGGUUAAAGCAUC
This 28-nucleotide transfer RNA is filed under the name Neopringlea integrifolia. RNAcentral's name for it is "partial tRNA-Thr". Lineage: Eukaryota; Viridiplantae; Streptophyta; Magnoliopsida; Malpighiales; Salicaceae. The record is from RNAcentral.